GAACGCUGGCGGCAGGCCUAACACAUGCAAGUCGAGCGCGCCCUUCGGGGUGAGCGGCGGACGGGUUAGUAACGCGUGGGAAUAUGCCCAAAGGUACGGAAUAGCCUCUGGAAACGGAGAGUAAUACCGUAUGUGCCCUUCGGGGGAAAGAUUUAUCGCCUUUGGAUUAGCCCGCGUUAGAUUAGGUAGUUGGUGGGGUAAUGGCCUACCAAGCCUACGAUCUAUAGCUGGUUUUAGAGGAUGAUCAGCAACACUGGGACUGAGACACGGCCCAGACUCCUACGGGAGGCAGCAGUGGGGAAUCUUGGACAAUGGGGGCAACCCUGAUCCAGCCAUGCCGCGUGAGUGAUGAAGGCCUUAGGGUCGUAAAGCUCUUUCGCCUGUGAAGAUAAUGACGGUAGCAGGUAAAGAAACCCCGGCUAACUCCGUGCCAGCAGCCGCGGUAAUACGGAGGGGGUUAGCGUUGUUCGGAAUUACUGGGCGUAAAGCGCACGUAGGCGGAUCGGAAAGUUGGGGGUGAAAUCCCGGGGCUCAACCCCGGAACUGCCUCCAAAACUAUCGGUCUAGAGUUCGAGAGAGGUGAGUGGAAUUCCGAGUGUAGAGGUGAAAUUCGUAGAUAUUCGGAGGAACACCAGUGGCGAAGGCGGCUCACUGGCUCGAUACU
This 664-nucleotide ribosomal RNA is filed under the name Ruegeria sp. Its description in RNAcentral is "bacterial SSU rRNA". It matches the Rfam family "Bacterial small subunit ribosomal RNA", at positions 31 to 741 of the family's 1533-position model. Lineage: Bacteria; Pseudomonadati; Pseudomonadota; Alphaproteobacteria; Rhodobacterales; Roseobacteraceae. The record is from RNAcentral.